AUGGCUCAGUGAGGCCUUGGGAUUGGCCAGGGGAGACGGGUAACCAUCACCCCAGGCCGAAAACUUGGUCAAACUUGGUCAUUUAGAGGAAGUAAAAGUCGUAACAAGGUUUCCGUAGGUGAACCUGCGGAAGGAUCAUUACCGAGUUAGGGUUCUCUCCCGAGGCCCGACCUCCCAACCCUGUGUCUAACAAACCUGUAUGUGUUGCUUCGGUGGACCGGCAGUCCCCUCACGGGGGUCCGUCGCCGGGGGAGACAACGGCCUCACGGCCCGCCCCUGGAGAGUGUCCGCCGAUGGCCCCAUUAACAAACCUUCCCAAACCCAAAAUCUUGUACCUAAAACUUCUGAAUCAGACAUUUUGAUGUACCAAUCAAAAAACAAAACUUUCAACAACGGAUCUCUUGGUUCUGGCAUCGAUGAAGAACGCAGCGAAAUGCGAUAAGUAAUGCGAAUUGCAGAAUUUCCGUGAGUCAUCGAAUCUUUGAACGCACAUUGCGCCCUUUGGCAUUCCGAAGGGCAUGCCUGUUCGAGCGUCAUUAUCCUCUCUCAAACCUCGGGUUUGGUGUUGGACCGCGUUGGACCUCCCCAUGGCCAACUGGUCUCAAAGACAAUGACGGCGUCCCCGGGACCCUCUUCGCACUGAGCUUUCUGAAAGCACGCGUCGAGUUUCACGGGCCCAGGGACCCGGUCACCCCUAAAACUUCUUUAAGGUUGACCUCGGAUCAGGUAGGAAUACCCGCUGAACUUAAGCAUAUCAAUAAGCGGAGGAAAAGAAACCAACAGGGAUUGCCUCAGUAACGGCGAGUGAAGCGGCAACAGCUCAAAUUUGAAAUCUGGCCUCACGGUCCGAGUUGUAAUUUGUAGAGGAUGUUUUGGGCACCGCCCCGGGUUAAAUUUCUUGGAACAGAAUGUCAAAGAGGGUGAGAGUCCCGUCUUGGCCCGCGGUAGGACCUAUGUAAAACUCCUUCGACGAGUCGACUUGUUUGGGAAUGCAGGUCAAAAUGGGUGGUAAAUUUCAUCUAAAGCUAAAUAUUGGCCAGAGACCGAUAGCGCACAAGUAGAGUGAUCGAAAGAUGAAAAGCACUUUGAAAAGAGAGUUAAACAGUAUGUGAAAUUGUUGAAAGGGAAGCGCUGGCAACCAGACUCGAGCGCGGUGUUCCCCCUUGCUUCUGCCUGGGUUAUUUCACCGUGACCGGGCCAUCAUCAGUUUUGGGGGUUGGUUAAAGAUUCGGGGAAUGUAUCCUCUCUUUCGGGGGAGGACUUAUAGCCCCGGAUGUCAUGCAGCCUCCCGGGACUGAGGAACGCGCUUCGGCGAGGAUGAUGGCGUAAUGGUUGUCAGCGACCCGUCUUGAAACACGGACCAAGGAGUCUAACAUCUAUGCGAGUGUUCGGGUGUCAAACCCUUGCGCGGAAUGAAAGUGAACGGAGGUAGGAAGGCUUGAGCCUGCACUAUCGACCGAUCCUGAUGUCUUCGGAUGGAUUUGAGUAAGAGCAUAGCUGUUGGGACCCGAAAGAUGGUGAACUAUGCGUGAAUAGGGUGAAGCCAGAGGAAACUCUGGUGGAGGCUCGCAGCGGUUCUGACGUGCAAAUCGAUCGUCAAAUUUGCGUAUAGGGGCGAAAGACUAAUCGAACCAU
RNAcentral lists this ribosomal RNA (1635 nucleotides) under Chaetothyriales sp. MP-2014. RNAcentral describes it as "eukaryotic LSU rRNA". The stretch from base 713 to 1635 matches the Rfam family "Eukaryotic large subunit ribosomal RNA", at positions 1 to 943 of the family's 3401-position model. The record is from RNAcentral. Lineage: Eukaryota; Fungi; Ascomycota; Eurotiomycetes; Chaetothyriales.